This 573-nucleotide ribosomal RNA is filed under the name uncultured bacterium. RNAcentral describes it as "bacterial SSU rRNA". It matches the Rfam family "Bacterial small subunit ribosomal RNA", at positions 358 to 918 of the family's 1533-position model. The record is from RNAcentral.
GGGAUUUUGCGCAUGNGGGNAANCCCUGNCGCAGCAACGCCGCGUGGAGGAUGAAGGCCUUCGGGUCGUAAACUCCUGUCGACCGGGACGAAAGCGGCUCGACCUAACACGUCGAGCUGUCGACUGUACCGGUGGAGGAAGCUCCGGCUAACUCUGUGCCAGCAGCCGCGGUAAUACAGAGGGAGCGAGCGUUGUUCGGAAUUACUGGGCGUAAAGGGCGCGUAGGCGGCCUAACAAGUCUCGUGUGAAAUCCCUCGGCUUAACUGAGGAACUGCACGGGAAACAGCNUUGGCUUGAGUUCGGGAGAGGGAAGCGGAAUUCCGGGUGUAGCNGGUGAAAUGCGCAGAUAUCCGGAGGAACACCAGUGGCGAAGGCGGCUUCCUGGACCGACACUGACGCUGAGGCGCGAAAGCUAGGGGAGCAAACGGGAUUAGAUACCCCGGUAGUCCUAGCUGUAAACGAUGAGUGCUGGGUGUAGGGGGGUGUUAACCCCCCCUGUGCCGAAGCUAACGCAUUAAGCACUCCGCCUGGGGAGUACGGUCGCAAGGCUGAAACUCAAAGAAAUUGACGGAA